GGCCUUGUGGCUCAAAGGGGUAGGGCGCUGGCCCCAUAUGCCAGAGGUGGUGGGUUCAAACCCAGCCCCGGCCA
This 74-nucleotide transfer RNA is filed under the name Otolemur garnettii (small-eared galago). It matches the Rfam family "tRNA". Rfam says of the family: Transfer RNA (tRNA) molecules are approximately 80 nucleotides in length. Their secondary structure includes four short double-helical elements and three loops (D, anti-codon, and T loops). Further hydrogen bonds mediate the characteristic L-shaped molecular structure. tRNAs have two regions of fundamental functional importance: the anti-codon, which is responsible for specific mRNA codon recognition, and the 3' end, to which the tRNAs corresponding amino acid is attached (by aminoacyl-tRNA synthetases). tRNAs cope with the degeneracy of the genetic code in two manners: having more than one tRNA (with a specific anti-codon) for a particular amino acid; and 'wobble' base-pairing, i.e. permitting non-standard base-pairing at the 3rd anti-codon position. Lineage: Eukaryota; Metazoa; Chordata; Mammalia; Primates; Galagidae. The record is from Rfam by way of RNAcentral.